UUCAAUACUUUGAAGGAAAUCAUGGUUACCAUUUUAUACCACUAGUUGGCAGAAUAGCUGGCAGGAUUAAAGUAUUACAUAGGCUCGUGAUUUAGCAUAGGAGCUGGUCAUUCAGGUGAUGUGCAGGGUCUGAAAAACUGGUUCCCUCAGAUUUCUAGUUUUUAAGAUCCGGUGUCAGUGACAUAACAGUAAUAUUUCUAGAAGCCGAAUUUAUAAUUUGGAGUCCAAUUUGAUGAACAGUUGUUAUGUGCCACAUGGAGUCUUAUUCUGUUAUUCAUAUCGUGUGUACAAUAUAAAUAUGCAAAUUGAAACCAACCUUUUCUGGCUCUGCCACGAGCAGAUUCCAGCUGCCUUCAUUUAUUUAUUUAUUAAGAAAAUAUGUUCUCCCUAAUGCCUGUAAGCAGUUGUCUAUCAGCUAUCAUGGAACAUUUUACAUUGUUCUGAAACAAAACAGUAAAGUUUAGUAGGUACUAGAUUUAUCACGAAAUAGCUUCACAUGAAAUGUUUAUGAUGUAACAGAAAACAAGGAAUAUUACAAAAAUAUUGUGUAAAUGAGCUGAUGGUUGAUAUGUUACCUCUUCGGGUGUCGAUUUUUGUAGCAGACUAGUUAAAUGCUUGUGCAUUGCUAUGGACGCUAUUAAACACUUGUGCCACCAUAGUUCUUGAGUAGUUGAGCUAGUAUAAAAUAGGGAAAAUUAUCUCAAAAUAUAGAUGCUAUUGAGGCUUACAUACUGACGACUAGUUUACUACAAUUCUACAAAAAUUCCUGGCAGUACCCAACAUGUAUUAACUUAAAUCGUUGAUAAGUCAGAAUAUGCUGAUUGACAUGGUUAUCUUGUCAACGGUAGAUUUACUGGGCUUGUUAAACCAUUGUUUAGCUUGUCCAUUAUUUUUAUCUUGCACAUAAGUAAAUUUAUUGCAUAUAAGUCCAGAUGAUUUUCACUGUGGUAUAUAUCAGUAUAAAUCUUCUUAUACGGGGUUUAAUUCUAAGGCUUGGGCAUACCAAUGGCUGGUAUGUAGCGCCCUGAUGGGGUCACUUGUGUGUGGGCUGUGGCAAAUACUCCCUCCGUUCCUAAAUAUUUGUCUUUUUAAAAAUUCAACUACGGACUACAUACAAAUGGCUGGUAUGUAGCGCCCUGAUGGGGUCGCUUGUGUGUGGACUGUGGCAAAUACUAGAUUGCAGGCCAAGCUCCGUCAGCCUAAAGAAAACAUGAUGCUAGUGCUAGUUAGUGUUGCUAGUUUUGCUGCUUUACCUUAUAAUUUUUGUUCCCCCCCUGCGAUGUAACAAAUUGUUUCUGCUGUUGGGGAAAUACUUAAUUUGUAGUGUUAAUAUCGUUUUUGCCACAGGUGAUGGAGCGGAGCGGAUGGAGAAGAGCCGAUGGUUUUGACGCUUGUUUUUGGUGGCUCGUCUAUCACACAGCGAAUCUUUUACAGUGCCCUUUGGAACAUAUGUGAAAUCAUAUAGGGAACCUGUGGAGACAUGGGCGAUUGAUUUAUUGAUGUGUGUGUGUGUGUGGGGGGGGGGGNNNNN
Molecule: long non-coding RNA, 1531 nt
Filed under: Hordeum vulgare
Lineage: Eukaryota; Viridiplantae; Streptophyta; Magnoliopsida; Poales; Poaceae
Description: long non-coding RNA (HVUL_LNC020793)
Source: RNAcentral